GAUUAGGUAGGAAUACCCGCUGAACUUAAGCAUAUCAAUAAGCGGAGGAAAAGAAACCAACAGGGAUUGCCCUAGUAACGGCGAGUGAAGCGGCAACAGCUCAAAUUUGAAAUCUGGCCCUAGCGGUCCGAGUUGUAAUUUGUAGAGGAUGCUUUUGGUUAGGUGCCUUCUGAGUUCCCUGGAACGGGACGCCAGAGAGGGUGAGAGCCCCGUACGGUUGGACACCGAGCCUCUAUAUAGCUCCUUCGACGAGUCGAGUAGUUUGGGAAUGCUGCUCUAAAUGGGAGGUAAAUUUCUUCUAAAGCUAAAUACCGGCCAGAGACCGAUAGCGCACAAGUAGAGUGAUCGAAAGAUGAAAAGUACUUUGAAAAGAGGGUUAAAUAGCACGUGAAAUUGUUGAAAGGGAAGCGUUUGCGACCAGACUUUUUCCAGGCGGAUCAUCCGGUGUUCUCACCGGUGCACUUCGCCUGGUUUAGGCCAGCAUCGGUUCUCUUAGGGGGAUAAAGGCCUGGGGAACGUAGCUCCUUCGGGAGUGUUAUAGCCCCUAGCGUAAUACCCUUCGGGGGACCGAGGAACGCGCA
This 581-nucleotide ribosomal RNA is filed under the name Daldinia loculata. Its description in RNAcentral is "eukaryotic LSU rRNA". It matches the Rfam family "Eukaryotic large subunit ribosomal RNA", at positions 9 to 599 of the family's 3401-position model. Lineage: Eukaryota; Fungi; Ascomycota; Sordariomycetes; Xylariales; Hypoxylaceae. The record is from RNAcentral.